RNAcentral lists this long non-coding RNA (245 nucleotides) under Carica papaya (papaya). Its description in RNAcentral is "long non-coding RNA (CPAP_LNC004562)". The record is from RNAcentral. Lineage: Eukaryota; Viridiplantae; Streptophyta; Magnoliopsida; Brassicales; Caricaceae.
CGAAGUUACUUAAGUGAUGUCUUGAAUCAAAUCUUGUUUCAAAUUAUGAGAAAUAUCAUUUUAUGGUAUAUCAAGGAUUAAUUCUGGGACACAGAGGGUCUUCAAGGGGGGAUCGAGGUGGAUAAAGCAAAAAUUGAUGUGAUUAAAUUUUUACCUUAUCCUGUGAGCAUAUGGAAAGUUUAAUUUUUUUUUGGACAUGCAUGAUUCUAUAGGUGCAUCACAAAAGAUUUUUUUAAGAUCACCCG